Non-coding RNA from Oryza glaberrima (African rice), 197 nucleotides. The record is from Rfam. Lineage: Eukaryota; Viridiplantae; Streptophyta; Magnoliopsida; Poales; Poaceae.
UUCAAGUGUAGUCGUAGGUUUUUUUAUUUAAUGUUUGAUCGUCCAUCUUAUUAAAUUUUUUAUAGUUAGUAUUUUUAUUGCUAUUAGAUGAUAAAAUAUAAACAAUACUUUAUGCAUGACUUAGCUUUAAAAGAAAUUUUAUAAAAAUUUUAAAUAAGACAAACGGUGAAACAUUAAAUACAGAAAAUACACUUAGA